This 468-nucleotide ribosomal RNA is filed under the name uncultured bacterium. RNAcentral's name for it is "partial 16S ribosomal RNA". It matches the Rfam family "Bacterial small subunit ribosomal RNA", at positions 28 to 507 of the family's 1533-position model. The record is from RNAcentral.
GACGAACGCUGGCGGCGUGCUUAACACAUGCAAGUCGAACGGAAAGGCCCUGCUCUUGCGGGGUGCUCGUGUGGCGAACGGGUGAGUAACACGCGUGUAUACCGUCCCUGUCAUUGGGAUAACUUCAGGAAACUCGGGCUAUUAUCCGAUAGGAGCUCUUGCUGCACGGUGGGGGUUGGAAAGUUUCGGCGGUUGGGGAUGGACUCGCGGCUUAUCAGCUUGUUGGUGGGGUAGUGGCUUACCAAGGCUUUGACGGGUAGCCGGCCUGAGAGGGUGACCGGCCACAUUGGGACUGAGAUACGGCCCAGACUCCUACGGGAGGCAGCAGUGGGGAAUAUUGCACAAUGGGCGGAAGCCUGAUGCAGCGACGCCGCGUGCGGGAUGACGGCCUUCGGGUUGUAAACCGCUUUCGCCUGUGACGAAGCGUGAGUGACGGUAAGGGGUAAAGAAGCACCGGCUAACUACGUG